This is a non-coding RNA of Paramuricea clavata, 308 nucleotides long. The record is from the annotation of a GenBank genome assembly. Lineage: Eukaryota; Metazoa; Cnidaria; Anthozoa; Malacalcyonacea; Plexauridae.
ACUAAAAAUUAAUUGGUCUGAAAAUUGGCUCUAGUGCGAAUUACUUUUCUCCCAAAUCAUUAUUUUCAGAAAACGUUUUACACGAUAACUUGUUUAAUGAUUUUAUGACAGAUCUACAGGGUGUAUCAAAAAAAGCGCAAUCCUCGACUGAAAUGUAAAUUGCUAAACAAAUAAUAGACGUAAACGUUAAAGUUUACAUUCAUUUUAAAGCGUAGCCAUUCAGCUUUCUAACAGUGGGUUGUUUCUUAAAUUUGACUCAUUGGUUCGCGGGUAAUAAUACUUUACGUUAUUGCGAUUGGAGAUUAAAA